UUCAUAUCCGUGUCCAUAUUGACACUUUAUUGUCAAAUUUUCUCCAUGAAUAAGCUAUCAUUUCACUUAAAAUAAGUUACCAUGUUAAUCCUUGCAUUUUAUACUUGAGAUCUGGGCUUUAUUUCGUGUUUUUUGAUGCACUAUGGUGGCCGCAUUUUGGUGUUGAAAUUGGAAGAAACACACUGUUUUCUGCGUAUUUGCAUGAACAUGGCGCUAGGGUUUUGGUUCCAUGAAGAAGACGAUCACGUGUCGUCUUGAGAGCCGUUGGAUCUGGCGUGUAUGUUUUAAUCUC
RNAcentral lists this long non-coding RNA (292 nucleotides) under Lathyrus oleraceus (garden pea). Its description in RNAcentral is "Pisum sativum (pea) long non-coding RNA (PSAT_LNC033208)". Lineage: Eukaryota; Viridiplantae; Streptophyta; Magnoliopsida; Fabales; Fabaceae. The record is from RNAcentral.